This 253-nucleotide ribosomal RNA is filed under the name uncultured bacterium. RNAcentral's name for it is "partial 16S ribosomal RNA". It matches the Rfam family "Bacterial small subunit ribosomal RNA", at positions 524 to 776 of the family's 1533-position model. The record is from RNAcentral.
UACGUAGGGGGCUAGCGUUGUCCGGAAUCAUUGGGCGUAAAGAGCGUGUAGGCGGUCCGGUAAGUCCGCUGUGAAAGUCGGGGGCUCAACCCUCGAAUGCCGGUGGAUACUGUCGGGCUAGAGUGUGGAAGAGGCGAGUGGAAUUCCUGGUGUAGCGGUGAAAUGCGCAGAUAUCAGGAGGAACACCUAUUGCGAAGGCAGCUCGCUGGGACGUUACUGACGCUGAGACGCGAAAGCGUGGGGAGCAAACAGG